Helianthus annuus (common sunflower) is the source of this 522-nucleotide long non-coding RNA. RefSeq lists it as uncharacterized. The record is from RefSeq and is a predicted model, not a curated record. The transcript has 3 exons. NCBI's taxonomy places the organism in Eukaryota, Viridiplantae, Streptophyta, Magnoliopsida, Asterales, Asteraceae.
CCGCCCAACUUUUCCCUCUUCCUCAAAAUCUCAAAUUCCCCUCCCAUCUCCCCCUUUCCUUCCUAACCUAUUCAACCCUCUUCCUCAAAAACCCAAAUUCCCAUCUCAUCACCUCCUUUCCCUCUUAACCUAAUUGAAUCUUCAUGUCCUUACAAAAUUCAAGAACUCAAACUACUCAAUGGCUACUCUACGAUGAUCGACACUGUCAAAUCCUAUGGCUCAAACAUACUUGCUCUGUGCGCCGACGGAUAUCUUUGGUUUUUAAACUCAUUAGAGAUGGUGACCCCUGAAAUCAUGACAAGAGAUUCUGAUUUCAUAAUAUCUUCCAUAAAAAACGUUGAUCAAUUCAAGAUUUUUUUAGGGUUUUAGGAUUUUCCCCAACUCGGUAUAUAUAGGUUUUGAAUGGAUAUCAAAUCAGAAGCCAACUCAGCAGCAAACGCGAUAUAGGAAAUCACCUUGUGCGCCAGCAGAUGGAGAAGGUAGUCCAUGAGGAUUGAGGACGCAUGAUGACUCAAGAUUUUA